GACGAACGCUGGCGGCGUGCUUAACACAUGCAAGUCGAACGAUGAAGCGGGUGCUUGCACUCGUGGAUUAGUGGCGAACGGGCGAGUAACACGUGAGUAACCUGUCCUUUUCUUUGGGAUAACGGCUGGAAACGGCUGCUAAUACUGGAUAUUCAGGCUGCAUCGCAUGGUGUGGUUUGGAAAGGUUUUUUCUGGGAUUGGGUGGGCUCGCGGCCUAUCAGCUUGUUGGUGGGGUGAUGGCUUACCAAGGCUUUGACGGGUAGCCGGCCUGAGAGGGUGGUCGGUCGCACUGGGACUGAGAUACGGCCCAGAGUCCUACGGGAGGCAGCAGCUGGGAAGAUUGCACAAUGGACGAAAGUUUGAUGCAGCGACGCCGCGUGGAGGGUGUAGGCCUUCGGGUUGUGAACUCCUUUUUCUCGCGAAAAAGGCACAGUUUUGGCUGUGUUGAUGUUAGUGGGAGAAGAAGCGCCGGCUAACUACGUG
This 483-nucleotide ribosomal RNA is filed under the name uncultured bacterium. RNAcentral describes it as "partial 16S ribosomal RNA". It matches the Rfam family "Bacterial small subunit ribosomal RNA", at positions 28 to 507 of the family's 1533-position model. The record is from RNAcentral.